This 339-nucleotide long non-coding RNA is filed under the name Cercocebus atys (sooty mangabey). RNAcentral's name for it is "lncRNA (ENSCATG00000045586.1)". Lineage: Eukaryota; Metazoa; Chordata; Mammalia; Primates; Cercopithecidae. The record is from RNAcentral.
GACCUCCGCUGCCCUGAGAGCGCAUCCAGCGCGGGCGGAGUCGGACGGACUCGGGCUUCACGCCUCGCGCGGGCACCUCUUCUCCCGGGCACUGCGGCCCAGUUCUUAGGGGAGGCAGAGUCCUUCCGGAGUUUGACCCUUGGAUUCCAUCCAGAGCAGCCUCCAAAAUGACACCUUUGAAGUUGUGUAUCGAGCUGGGAGAUGUAAAGGGAGGAGAAGAAAGAAGAUGAAGAGACACCAGCCAGCCUUGAGUGGACAUCCUGCCUGGUGAAACUGAACAAGACACUGACCGCAUGUGAGUGAAACAAGCCCUAGUUGCUGGGCUCCGACAAACAUGGG